GAUGAACGCUGGCGGCGUGCCUAAUACAUGCAAGUCGAGCGAACAGACGAGGAGCUUGCUCCUCUGACGUUAGCGGCGGACGGGUGAGUAACACGUGGAGAACCUACCUAUAAGACUGGGAUAACUUCGGGAAACCGGAGCUAAUACCGGAUAAUAUAUUGAACCGCAAGGUUCAAUAGUGAAAGACGGUUUUGCUGUCACUUAUAGAUGGAUCCGCGCCGCAUUAGCUAGUUGGUAAGGUAACGGCUUACCAAGGCAACGAUGCGUAGCCGACCUGAGAGGGUGAUCGGCCACACUGGAAAUGAGACACGGUUCAAAAAGCUAUGAGAGGCAGUACCAGCGCGUCGCCCGUACGAUCCGAAAUUUUGUCUUAGCAACGCCUCGAGGUUGAUGAAGAGUGUCAGCUCGUAAAACGCUGUCCUACGGGAAGAACAACAGUGUAAUUAACUAUGUUCGUCUGGACGUUACCAAAUCAGAAAGCAACGGCUACUUUAGU
RNAcentral lists this ribosomal RNA (496 nucleotides) under uncultured bacterium. RNAcentral describes it as "partial 16S ribosomal RNA". It matches the Rfam family "Bacterial small subunit ribosomal RNA", at positions 28 to 506 of the family's 1533-position model. The record is from RNAcentral.